UCCCUCUCUUUUUCUCUCUCUCAUCUGAUGUUCCGAUUUGCCCAGUCGAGUCGUUUGGUUUGCCGCCAGUAUGGCUCGGAAUGCCCUGAACCGCCUGGUUCAGGAUGGUUAGGCGAAUGCUGAAGUGGCUUAUGUUGCAAUAUAUCGCUUUAUGUUCUAGCCAUCGUUCUUCAUAUAUAUUAUAACUUUUAUUUACUUUUUGUUAAGUUUGGGUAUACUCAAUGAGCCAUGGAGUGUAUCUGUGGGGGCAUUUUAAAGACUACUUUCUAGAUCAUAGCAGCCCAUAUUUGGUGUUCCCUCGUACAUGUAAUGACAGGCUCUAGUUGAUCUGCCCUCUCUUAACUAUUCCUAGUGUUUUUAACAAGAUUUUGAAACUACUGGUCAAUGCUAGAUUAUAUUCUGAAUAGCUUAAGCAGUUAAUAACCUACCAUUUAUGAAUAUGAUAUUUCUGUAGGUCUUUUCUAAGAACCCACACACACACAUACACAUACAUACAUAUAUAUAUGUAUGUGUACACACACACACACACAUAGACACACACGCACACAUAGAUAGGUAGAUAUAU
This 565-nucleotide long non-coding RNA is filed under the name Elaeis guineensis (African oil palm). Its description in RNAcentral is "long non-coding RNA (EGUI_LNC072011)". Lineage: Eukaryota; Viridiplantae; Streptophyta; Magnoliopsida; Arecales; Arecaceae. The record is from RNAcentral.